This is a non-coding RNA of Hordeum vulgare subsp. vulgare (domesticated barley), 77 nucleotides long. NCBI's taxonomy places the organism in Eukaryota, Viridiplantae, Streptophyta, Magnoliopsida, Poales, Poaceae. The record is from the annotation of a RefSeq genome assembly.
GGGGAAAUAGCUCAGUUGGUUAGAGUGCUGGUCUGUCACGCCAGAAGUCGCGGGUUCGAACCCCGUUUUCCCGCCCG